UACAGAGGUGGCGAGCGUUACUCGGAUUUAUUGGGUGUAAAGGGCAGGUAGGCGUUUCAUUAAGUUAGAGGUGAAAUCCUAAGGCUUAACCUUAGAACUGCUUCUAAGACUGAUGGAAUUGAGACUAGAAGAGGAAAGCGGAAUUCCCGGUGUAAGGGUGAAAUCUGUAGAUAUCGGGAGGAACACCAGUGGCGAAGGCGGCUUUCUGGUCUAGAUCUGACGCUGAGCUGCGAAAGCUCGGGGAGCAAACAGG
RNAcentral lists this ribosomal RNA (253 nucleotides) under uncultured bacterium. Its description in RNAcentral is "partial 16S ribosomal RNA". It matches the Rfam family "Bacterial small subunit ribosomal RNA", at positions 524 to 776 of the family's 1533-position model. The record is from RNAcentral.